UACGUAGGGGGCAAGCGUUGUCCGGAAUCAUUGGGCGUAAAGAGCGUGUAGGCGGCCAGAUAAGUCCGCUGUGAAAUCUCGAGGCUCAACUUCGAGCUGUCGGUGGAAACUGUCUGGCUAGAGUCCGGAAGAGGAGAAUGGAAUUCCUGGUGUAGCGGUGAAAUGCGCAGAUAUCAGGAAGAACACCCGUGGCGAAGGCGGUUCUCUGGGCCUGUUCUGACGCUGAGGAGCGAAAGCGUGGGGAGCGAACAGG
RNAcentral lists this ribosomal RNA (253 nucleotides) under uncultured bacterium. RNAcentral describes it as "partial 16S ribosomal RNA". It matches the Rfam family "Bacterial small subunit ribosomal RNA", at positions 524 to 776 of the family's 1533-position model. The record is from RNAcentral.